GGGGGAUGCCUUUAAAUGCAAGUCGAACGGUAACAGGUCUUCGGACGCUGACGAGUGGCGAACGGGUGAGUAAUACAUCGGAACGUGCCCAGUCGUGGGGGAUAACUACUCGAAAGAGUAGCUAAUACCGCAUACGAUCUGAGGAUGAAAGCGGGGGACCUUCGGGCCUCGCGCGAUUGGAGCGGCCGAUGGCAGAUUAGGUAGUUGGUGGGAUAAAAGCUUACCAAGCCGACGAUCUGUAGCUGGUCUGAGAGGACGACCAGCCACACUGGGACUGAGACACGGCCCAGACUCCUACGGGAGGCAGCAGUGGGGAAUUUUGGACAAUGGGCGAAAGCCUGAUCCAGCAAUGCCGCGUGCAGGAUGAAGGCCUUCGGGUUGUAAACUGCUUUUGUACGGAACGAAAAAGCUCCUUCUAAUACAGGGGGCCCAUGACGGUACCGUAAGAAUAAGCACCGGCUAACUACGUGCCAGCAGCCGCGGUAAUACGUAGGGUGCGAGCGUUAAUCGGAAUUACUGGGCGUAAAGCGUGCGCAGGCGGUUAUGUAAGACAGAUGUGAAAUCCCCGGGCUCAACCUGGGAACUGCAUUUGUGACUGCAUGGCUAGAGUACGGUAGAGGGGGAUGGAAUUCCGCGUGUAGCAGUGAAAUGCGUAGAUAUGCGGAGGAACACCGAUGGCGAAGGCAAUCCCCUGGACCUGUACUGACGCUCAUGCACGAAAGCGUGGGGGAGCAAAACAGGAUUAGAUACCCUGGUAGUCCACGCCCUAAACGAUGUCAACUGGUUUGUUGGGAAUUAGUUUUCUCAGUAACGAAGCUAACGCGUGAAGUUGACCGCCUGGGGAGUACGGCCGCAAGGUUGAUACUCAAAGGAAUUGACGGGACCCGCACAAGCGGUGUAUGAUGUGGGUUAAUUCGAUGCACGGCGAAAAACCUUUACCCCUCUUGGCUGGGAG
This 955-nucleotide ribosomal RNA is filed under the name bacterium. RNAcentral describes it as "bacterial SSU rRNA". It matches the Rfam family "Bacterial small subunit ribosomal RNA", at positions 39 to 991 of the family's 1533-position model. The record is from RNAcentral.